CCUACGGGAGGCCGCAGUGGGGAAUAUUGCGCCAUGGGCGAAAGCCUGACGCAGCGACGCCGCGUGAGGGAUGAAGGCUUUCGGGUUGUACACUUCUUUUGUCAGGGAAGAGUAGAAGACGGUACCUGACGAAUCAGCCACGGCUAACUACGUGCCAGCAGCCGCGGUAAUACGUAGGUGGCAAGCGUUGUCCGGAUUUACUGGGUGUAAAGGGCGUGUAGCCGGGUUGACAAGUCAGAUGUGAAAUCCUGCGGCUUAACCGCAGAACUGCAUUUGAAACUGUUGAUCUUGAGUACUGGAGAGGCAGACGGAAUUCGUAGUGUAGCGGUGAAAUGCGUAGAUAUUAGGAGGAACACCAGUGGCGAAGGCGGUCUGCUGGACAGCAACUGACGGUGAGGCGCGAAAGCGUGGGGAGCAAACAGGAUUAGAUACCCGAGUAGUC
This 442-nucleotide ribosomal RNA is filed under the name uncultured bacterium. RNAcentral describes it as "partial 16S ribosomal RNA". It matches the Rfam family "Bacterial small subunit ribosomal RNA", at positions 338 to 795 of the family's 1533-position model. The record is from RNAcentral.